UACGUAGGGUGCAAGCGUUAUUCGGAAUUACUGGGCGUAAAGCGUGCGCAGGCGGUGAUGUAAGAUAGAUGUGAAAUCCCUGGGCUCAACCUGGGAACUGCAUUUGUGACUGCAUCGCUGGAGUGCGGCAGAGGGGGAUGGAAUUCCGCGUGUAGCAGUGAAAUGCGUAGAUAUGCGGAGGAACACCGAUGGCGAAGGCAAUCCCCUGGGCCUGCACUGACGCUCAUGCACGAAAGCGUGGGGAGCAAACAGG
This 253-nucleotide ribosomal RNA is filed under the name uncultured bacterium. RNAcentral describes it as "partial 16S ribosomal RNA". It matches the Rfam family "Bacterial small subunit ribosomal RNA", at positions 524 to 776 of the family's 1533-position model. The record is from RNAcentral.